Haemophilus influenzae Rd KW20 is the source of this 2901-nucleotide ribosomal RNA. It matches the Rfam family "Bacterial large subunit ribosomal RNA". The record is from Rfam. Lineage: Bacteria; Pseudomonadati; Pseudomonadota; Gammaproteobacteria; Pasteurellales; Pasteurellaceae.
AGUUAAGUGACUAAGCGUACAAGGUGGAUGCCUUGGCAAUCAGAGGCGAAGAAGGACGUGCUAAUCUGCGAAAAGCUUGGAUGAGUCGAUAAGAGGCGUUUAAUCCAAGAUAUCCGAAUGGGGAAACCCAGUAGAUGAAGAAUCUACUAUCAACAAGUGAAUUCAUAGCUUGUUGAGGCAAACCGGGAGAACUGAAACAUCUAAGUACCCCGAGGAAAAGAAAUCAACCGAGAUUUCGUCAGUAGCGGCGAGCGAAAGCGAAAGAGCCAGUAAGUGAUAGCAAUAUAGUGAGGAGAAUGUGUUGGGAAGCACAAUCAAAGAGGGUGAUAAUCCCGUAUCUAAAAACCAUAUUGUGGUACUAAGCUAACGAGAAGUAGGGCGGGACACGUGAUAUCCUGUUUGAAGAAGGGGGGCCCAUCCUCCAAGGCUAAAUACUCCUGAUUGACCGAUAGUGAACCAGUACUGUGAAGGAAAGGCGAAAAGAACCCCGGUGAGGGGAGUGAAAUAGAACCUGAAACCUUGUACGUACAAGCAGUGGGAGCGAGGGCAACCUUGUGACUGCGUACCUUUUGUAUAAUGGGUCAGCGACUUAUAUUUUGUAGCGAGGUUAACCGAAUAGGGGAGCCGAAGGGAAACCGAGUCUUAACUGGGCGAAUAGUUGCAAGGUAUAGACCCGAAACCCGGUGAUCUAGCCAUGGGCAGGUUGAAGGUUGGGUAACACUAACUGGAGGACCGAACCGACUAAUGUUGAAAAAUUAGCGGAUGACUUGUGGCUGGGGGUGAAAGGCCAAUCAAACCGGGAGAUAGCUGGUUCUCCCCGAAAUCUAUUUAGGUAGAGCCUUGAGGUGACACCUUUGGGGGUAGAGCACUGUUUCGGCUAGGGGGCCAUCCCGGCUUACCAACCCGAUGCAAACUACGAAUACCAAAGAGUGAUACUCAGGAGACACACGGCGGGUGCUAACGUCCGUCGUGGAGAGGGAAACAACCCAGACCGCCAGCUAAGGUCCCCAAGUCUAUAUUAAGUGGGAAACGAAGUGGGAAGGCUUAGACAGCUAGGAUGUUGGCUUAGAAGCAGCCAUCAUUUAAAGAAAGCGUAAUAGCUCACUAGUCGAGUCGGCCUGCGCGGAAGAUGUAACGGGGCUGAAAUAUAGCACCGAAGCUGCGGCAUCAGAAUUUAUUCUGUUGGGUAGGGGAGCGUUGUGUAAGCGGAAGAAGGUUCAUCGAGAGGUGGGCUGGACGUAUCACAAGUGCGAAUGCUGACAUAAGUAACGAUAAAACGGGUGAAAAACCCGUUCGCCGGAAGACCAAGGGUUCCUGUCCAACGUUAAUCGGGGCAGGGUGAGUCGGCUCCUAAGGCGAGGCUGAAAAGCGUAGUCGAUGGGAAACAGGUUAAUAUUCCUGUACUUGGUAAAGCUGCGAUGUGGGGACGGAGUAGGUUAGGUUAUCGCACUGUUGGAUAUGUGCGUUUAAGUUGGUAGGUGGGAAGUUUAGGCAAAUCCGGACUUCCUUAACACAGAGAGAUGAUGACGAGGCUCUACGGAGCUGAAGUAACUGAUACCACACUUCCAGGAAAAGCCACUAAGCGAAAGGCUUUACUAAACCGUACUGAAAACCGACACAGGUGGUCAGGUAGAGAAUACUCAGGCGCUUGAGAGAACUCGGGUGAAGGAACUAGGCAAAAUAGCACCGUAACUUCGGGAGAAGGUGCGCCGGCGUAGAUUGUAAGGGCUAGCCCCUGAAGGUUGAACCGGUCGAAGAUACCAGCUGGCUGCAACUGUUUAUUAAAAACACAGCACUCUGCAAACACGAAAGUGGACGUAUAGGGUGUGAUGCCUGCCCGGUGCUGGAAGGUUAAUUGAUGGUGUCAUCGAAAGAGAAGCACCUGAUCGAAGCCCCAGUAAACGGCGGCCGUAACUAUAACGGUCCUAAGGUAGCGAAAUUCCUUGUCGGGUAAGUUCCGACCUGCACGAAUGGCAUAAUGAUGGCCAGGCUGUCUCCACCCGAGACUCAGUGAAAUUGAAAUCGCCGUGAAGAUGCGGUGUACCCGCGGCUAGACGGAAAGACCCCGUGAACCUUUACUAUAGCUUGACACUGAACAUUGAAUUUUGAUGUGUAGGAUAGGUGGGAGCCUUUGAAGCAGUGACGCCAGUCAUUGUGGAGGCGACCUUGAAAUACCACCCUUUAACGUUUGAUGUUCUAACGAAGAUGACGAAACGUGGUCUCGGACAGUGUCUGGUGGGUAGUUUGACUGGGGCGGUCUCCUCCCAAAGCGUAACGGAGGAGCACGAAGGUUUGCUAAUCACGGUCGGACAUCGUGAGGUUAGUGCAAUGGUAUAAGCAAGCUUAACUGCGAGACAGACAAGUCGAGCAGGUACGAAAGUAGGUCAUAGUGAUCCGGUGGUUCUGAAUGGAAGGGCCAUCGCUCAACGGAUAAAAGGUACUCCGGGGAUAACAGGCUGAUACCGCCCAAGAGUUCAUAUCGACGGCGGUGUUUGGCACCUCGAUGUCGGCUCAUCACAUCCUGGGGCUGAAGUAGGUCCCAAGGGUAUGGCUGUUCGCCAUUUAAAGUGGUACGCGAGCUGGGUUUAGAACGUCGUGAGACAGUUCGGUCCCUAUCUGCCGUGGGCGUAGGAUGAUUGAUUGGGGCUGCUCCUAGUACGAGAGGACCGGAGUGGACGCAUCACUGGUGUUCCGGUUGUGUCGCCAGACGCAUUGCCGGGUAGCUAAAUGCGGAAGAGAUAAGUGCUGAAAGCAUCUAAGCACGAAACUUGCCAAGAGAUGAGUCAUCCCUGACUUUAAGUCAGUAAGGGUUGUUGUAGACUACGACGUAGAUAGGUUGGGUGUGUAAGUGAUGUGAGUCAUUGAGCUAACCAAUACUAAUUGCCCGAGAGGCUUAACUAU